Molecule: ribosomal RNA, 1406 nt
Filed under: Lactococcus lactis subsp. lactis
Lineage: Bacteria; Bacillati; Bacillota; Bacilli; Lactobacillales; Streptococcaceae
Description: bacterial SSU rRNA
Rfam family: Bacterial small subunit ribosomal RNA
Source: RNAcentral
AGUUGAGCGCUGAAGGUUGGUACUUGUACCGACUGGAUGAGCAGCGAACGGGUGAGUAACGCGUGGGGAAUCUGCCUUUGAGCGGGGGACAACAUUUGGAAACGAAUGCUAAUACCGCAUAAAAACUUUAAACACAAGUUUUAAGUUUGAAAGAUGCAAUUGCAUCACUCAAAGAUGAUCCCGCGUUGUAUUAGCUAGUUGGUGAGGUAAAGGCUCACCAAGGCGAUGAUACAUAGCCGACCUGAGAGGGUGAUCGGCCACAUUGGGACUGAGACACGGCCCAAACUCCUACGGGAGGCAGCAGUAGGGAAUCUUCGGCAAUGGACGAAAGUCUGACCGAGCAACGCCGCGUGAGUGAAGAAGGUUUUCGGAUCGUAAAACUCUGUUGGUAGAGAAGAACGUUGGUGAGAGUGGAAAGCUCAUCAAGUGACGGUAACUACCCAGAAAGGGACGGCUAACUACGUGCCAGCAGCCGCGGUAAUACGUAGGUCCCGAGCGUUGUCCGGAUUUAUUGGGCGUAAAGCGAGCGCAGGUGGUUUAUUAAGUCUGGUGUAAAAGGCAGUGGCUCAACCAUUGUAUGCAUUGGAAACUGGUAGACUUGAGUGCAGGAGAGGAGAGUGGAAUUCCAUGUGUAGCGGUGAAAUGCGUAGAUAUAUGGAGGAACACCGGUGGCGAAAGCGGCUCUCUGGCCUGUAACUGACACUGAGGCUCGAAAGCGUGGGGAGCAAACAGGAUUAGAUACCCUGGUAGUCCACGCCGUAAACGAUGAGUGCUAGAUGUAGGGAGCUAUAAGUUCUCUGUAUCGCAGCUAACGCAAUAAGCACUCCGCCUGGGGAGUACGACCGCAAGGUUGAAACUCAAAGGAAUUGACGGGGGCCCGCACAAGCGGUGGAGCAUGUGGUUUAAUUCGAAGCAACGCGAAGAACCUUACCAGGUCUUGACAUACUCGUGCUAUUCCUAGAGAUAGGAAGUUCCUUCGGGACACGGGAUACAGGUGGUGCAUGGUUGUCGUCAGCUCGUGUCGUGAGAUGUUGGGGUUAAGUCCCGCAACGAGCGCAACCCCUAUUGUUAGUUGCCAUCAUUAAGUUGGGCACUCUAACGAGACUGCCGGUGAUAAACCGGAGGAAGGUGGGGAUGACGUCAAAUCAUCAUGCCCCUUAUGACCUGGGCUACACACGUGCUACAAUGGAUGGUACAACGAGUCGCGAGACAGUGAUGUUUAGCUAAUCUCUUAAAACCAUUCUCAGUUCGGAUUGUAGGCUGCAACUCGCCUACAUGAAGUCGGAAUCGCUAGUAAUCGCGGAUCAGCACGCCGCGGUGAAUACGUUCCCGGGCCUUGUACACACCGCCCGUCACACCACGGGAGUUGGGAGUACCCGAAGUAGGUGCCUAACCGCAAGGAGGGC